RNAcentral lists this ribosomal RNA (520 nucleotides) under uncultured beta proteobacterium. RNAcentral describes it as "bacterial SSU rRNA". It matches the Rfam family "Bacterial small subunit ribosomal RNA", at positions 900 to 1424 of the family's 1533-position model. The record is from RNAcentral. Lineage: Bacteria; Pseudomonadati; Pseudomonadota; Betaproteobacteria.
CUCAAAGGAAUUGACGGGGACCCGCACAAGCGGUGGAUGAUGUGGUUUAAUUCGAUGCAACGCGAAAAACCUUACCCACCUUUGACAUGUACGGAACCCUUUGGAGACAGAGGGGUGCUCGAAAGAGAGCCGUAACACAGGUGCUGCAUGGCUGUCGUCAGCUCGUGUCGUGAGAUGUUGGGUUAAGUCCCGCAACGAGCGCAACCCUUGUCAUUAGUUGCUACGAAAGGGCACUCUAAUGAGACUGCCGGUGACAAGCCGGAGGAAGGUGGGGAUGACGUCAAGUCCUCAUGGCCCUUAUAGGUGGGGCUACACACGUCAUACAAUGGCUGGUACAGAGGGUUGCCAACCCGCGAGGGGGAGCCAAUCCCAUAAAACCAGUCGUAGUCCGGAUCGCAGUCUGCAACUCGACUGCGUGAAGUCGGAAUCGCUAGUAAUCGCGGAUCAGCAUGUCGCGGUGAAUACGUUCCCGGGUCUUGUACACACCGCCCGUCACACCAUGGGAGCGGGUUCUGCCAGA